GAUGAACGCUAGCUACAGGCUUAACACAUGCAAGUCGAGGGGAAACGACAUCGAAAGCUUGCUUUUGAUGGGCGUCGACCGGCGCACGGGUGAGUAACGCGUAUCCAACCUGCCCAUCACUUGGGAAUAACCUUGCGAAAGUAAGACUAAUACCCAAUGACAUCCCACGAAGACAUCUGAAUGGGAUUAAAGAUUUCUCGGUGAUGGAUGGGGAUGCGUCUGAUUAGCUUGUUGGCGGGGUAACGGCCCACCAAGGCAACGAUCAGUAGGGGUUCUGAGAGGAAGGUCCCCCACAUUGGAACUGAGACACGGUCCAAACUCCUACGGGAGGCAGCAGUGAGGAAUAUUGGUCAAUGGGCGAGAGCCUGAACCAGCCAAGUAGCGUGCAGGAUGACGGCCCUAUGGGUUGUAAACUGCUUUUAGAAGGGAAUAAAGUGGGUCUCGUGAGACUUUUUGCAUGUACCUUAUGAAUAAGGACCGGCUAAUUCCGUG
This 492-nucleotide ribosomal RNA is filed under the name uncultured bacterium. RNAcentral's name for it is "partial 16S ribosomal RNA". It matches the Rfam family "Bacterial small subunit ribosomal RNA", at positions 28 to 507 of the family's 1533-position model. The record is from RNAcentral.